UGGGGAAUAUUGGGCAAUGGAGGCAACUCUGACCCAGCAACGCCGCGUGAAGGAUGAAGGUUUUCGGAUUGUAAACUUCUGUCGCAGAGGACGAAGAAUGACGGUACUCUGUAAGAAAGCCACGGCAAACUACGUGCCAGCAGCCGCGGUAAUACGUAGGUGGCGAGCGUUGUCCGGAAUGACUGGGUGUAAAGGGAGUGUAGGCGGUUGGGUAAGUUAUAUGUGAAAGCCCCGGGCUUAACUUGGGAACUGCAUAUAAGACUGCCUGACUAGAGUGUGGGAGAGGUAAGUGGAAUUCCUAGUGUAGCGGUGGAAUGCGUAGAUAUUAGGAGGAACACCAGUGGCGAAGGCGGCUUACUGGACCAUAACUGACGCUGAGACUCGAAAGCGUGGGGAGCAAACA
This 403-nucleotide ribosomal RNA is filed under the name uncultured Eubacteriales bacterium. RNAcentral describes it as "uncultured Clostridiales bacterium partial 16S ribosomal RNA". It matches the Rfam family "Bacterial small subunit ribosomal RNA", at positions 355 to 774 of the family's 1533-position model. Lineage: Bacteria; Bacillati; Bacillota; Clostridia; Eubacteriales. The record is from RNAcentral.